AAUUUUCUGCAGAUAAUGUGUGGAAUGGUGGUGAUCCUGGACAUUUGAUGGCUGUGAACUUUAAAGGUCAUCCAUGGCAUGUAUGUGUAUUUGGGGAAGUACUGACUGCAAUUGAUGUGCUCUGUCAAGUUAUGUAAAAUUUCAAGCGGUUUUGAGCAUUUCACGGGUUGGUUGGAGAUUGAUUAAAGUUCUAGAUGCAAUUUUAAUGCGAAACAAUUGUUGAAAAUCACAGUCAAUCGUUUUGGACCAAUUCGCAAAAAAUUGGGUAAUUGAUGCAGCAUACAACCAAAAGGAAGAUAUAACUGCAGCAUCCCACCUAUUUAAGGAUACUCUUAACAACUAGUUGAUUGAGCCACAUUCUAACUGCAAGACUAACUACUUCCAACUGUUGGCAAUAGAUCCAAUCAACAUACACUAUGUGUUGUUUGCCAACUCAGUGUUGGUGGCUCAUAAAGGGGACAUUACACCUCCUCGUCCAUCUAUUCCUAAAGUUGUGGUAAAGAGCCACCUAUUUUUGGUCACACAUGAAGAGAGCCUGCUACACAUAUGACAACGAAAUUGGAGAAGUCAUUUAAAAUUGAAUUUUGAGAGAUUGUCGAUCAACUCAUUGCAAUAUGCAUCAAUGCAAAUGAUUUGGCUGUCAACAUUGUUCUCUUAGCAUAUUGACAAGAUAUGGAGAGGAAAAUUAAUGACCCUCCAAAGGGUACAAGGGCCUAGGUUUUGAGGUGUGUAUUGCUUUAGUGGCAAAGGAGUGAAACUUGUAGAAGAUUCAUUGAAGAUCAUUAAGAAUUUGUGGGUUGAGAUGAUGGUAUCAAUCAUUUCCAAUGGAUGGAAGGAUGCUAAAAAUCAACCUUUGGUCAAUGUGAUCAUAGUGUCUUUUAAACGAGCAAUGUUUUUUUGAAAGCUUUGGAUUAUGAGGUGUAAAUAAAAAAUACACAAUUUAUAGUUGACAUCUUUAUUGGGGCCAUUGAC
Molecule: long non-coding RNA, 972 nt
Organism: Cryptomeria japonica (Japanese cedar)
Lineage: Eukaryota; Viridiplantae; Streptophyta; Pinopsida; Cupressales; Cupressaceae
Exons: 3
Source: RefSeq, a predicted model, not a curated record